AUACGGAGGGUGCGAGCGUUAAUCGGAAUUACUGGGCGUAAAGCGUACGUAGGCGGUUUGCUAAGUCAGAUGUGAAAGCCCCGGGCUUAACCUGGGAACUGCAUUUGAUACUGGCAGACUAGAGUAUGAUAGGGGGGGGUAGAAUUCCUGGUGUAGCGGUGAAAUGCGUAGAUAUCAGGAGGAAUACCAGUGGCGAAGGCGGCCCCCUGGAUCAAUACUGACGCUGAGGUACGAAAGCGUGGGGAGCGAACAGGAUUAGAAACCCGAGUAGUCC
Molecule: ribosomal RNA, 274 nt
Filed under: uncultured bacterium
Lineage: Bacteria
Description: partial 16S ribosomal RNA
Rfam family: Bacterial small subunit ribosomal RNA
Source: RNAcentral